RNAcentral lists this non-coding RNA (261 nucleotides) under Hespellia stercorisuis. Its description in RNAcentral is "T-box sequence". It matches the Rfam family "T-box leader". Rfam says of the family: Uncharged tRNA acts as the effector for transcription antitermination of genes in the T-box leader family. T-boxes are found upstream of many aminoacyl-tRNA synthetase genes and some amino acid biosynthetic genes usually in Gram-positive bacteria. The record is from RNAcentral. Lineage: Bacteria; Bacillati; Bacillota; Clostridia; Lachnospirales; Lachnospiraceae.
UCAAAUUCACUGAAGGGAACAAGUAAAAACGAUAUCCAUGUCAACAGAGAGCUGCGUAUGGUGGAAAGCAGUGGCCAGAACGUUUUGAACAUCAUCCCCGAGAAGAGAAGCCGAACGUGCACGAUGCUACGAUUAUCAAAGCAAGUAGGUUUCUACGGUCUGACCCCCGUUACAGGAGUCGCGUAUGUCGGUACGUUGCAGAAUCGUACUUGUUUCAAGGAAGAGACAGGGUGGUUGCGGAUACUAUAUUCCGUCCCUAGU